AGUAAGAUCAGCUAAGAUAAGCUUUUGGGCCCAUACCCCAAAAAUGUAGGUUAAACUCCUUCUCUUACUA
This 70-nucleotide transfer RNA is filed under the name Aphanotorulus emarginatus. Its description in RNAcentral is "tRNA-Met". It matches the Rfam family "tRNA". Rfam says of the family: Transfer RNA (tRNA) molecules are approximately 80 nucleotides in length. Their secondary structure includes four short double-helical elements and three loops (D, anti-codon, and T loops). The record is from RNAcentral. Lineage: Eukaryota; Metazoa; Chordata; Actinopteri; Siluriformes; Loricariidae.